RNAcentral lists this ribosomal RNA (373 nucleotides) under uncultured organism. Its description in RNAcentral is "partial 16S ribosomal RNA". It matches the Rfam family "Bacterial small subunit ribosomal RNA", at positions 527 to 896 of the family's 1533-position model. The record is from RNAcentral.
GUAGGUGGCAAGCGUUGUCCGGAAUUAUUGGGCGUAAGGCGCGCGCAGGUGGUUCUUUAAGUCUGAUGUGAAAGCCCCCGGCUCAACCGGGGAGGGUCAUUGGAAACUGGGGAACUUGAGUGCAGGAGAGGAAAGUGGAAUUCCACGUGUAGCGGUGAAAUGCGUAGAUAUGUGGAGGAACACCAGUGGCGAAGGCGACUUUCUGGCCUGUAACUGACACUGAGGCGCGAAAGCGUGGGGAGCAAACAGGGAUUAGAUACCCUGGUAGUCCACGCCGUAAACGAUGAGUGCUAAGUGUUGGGGGGGUUUCCCGCCCCUCAGUGCUGCAGCUAACGCAUUAAGCACUCCGCCUGGGGAUACGGUCGCAAGACUG